AACCCAUGGUGAGGGCACCUGCUCAAUAAAUCAUCGUAUCUCUCCCAUUCAUCAUAUAAAGUCUCUAAAUUGAUCUGCACAGAGGAGGAGCUAUCAUUCCUCAACUU
Gossypium hirsutum (cotton) is the source of this 107-nucleotide non-coding RNA. Lineage: Eukaryota; Viridiplantae; Streptophyta; Magnoliopsida; Malvales; Malvaceae. The record is from Rfam.